CCUCACGGUAGCUUAGAAAACUUGGAAAUGGUCUUGCGGAUCAAGCAGCUGGACUGUCUAAUUUUACAGAAGACCCGGAAGCCCAAAGAGGGCCUGCUCCUGCCGGGGGGUCCAGCCUGGCGCUGGUGUCAGAGCCCACUCUAGAGGCCCAGCUCUCGGACUUCUAGGCGGCAGGGCAGAGUCGUUUGUCCCCAGCAGGCUGGCUCUGCAAUGCCCGGCCACUGACACUCCCGGGACCUCCCAACGCCUACUUGAGCUACAGAGACAAAUCCAGGGGCCACUCUGUUCUUGGCCCCUUUUAGGGGAUGUGCCACAGGUCACAGCUGAACGGUGGCUCAAAGAGCUUGGCCACUGCGCUCUGAUACUUCCUCUCCGAAGAUGCCUCCAGACUGGGCGUCUGUGCCCUUCCCUGUGCAGGUGGCCAGAGAGGCAACGCCGGACAGACAGCUGGACACACAGCCUCGCCGCCAGGCCCAGAAUUCCAACAUGGCAUCUUUGGGAAUGGCUGACAGUUCAAGGCACCACAGAAGGGUCCCAGUGGAGAAACGUGGGAAAGCCUAAGAGCAGGAAAUAAAUUACACGCUUGAAAAGACAAGAGAAAUGGUUGAAUACCUCCUCCAGGG
Molecule: long non-coding RNA, 623 nt
Filed under: Mustela putorius furo (domestic ferret)
Lineage: Eukaryota; Metazoa; Chordata; Mammalia; Carnivora; Mustelidae
Description: lncRNA (ENSMPUG00000025031.1)
Source: RNAcentral